Molecule: ribosomal RNA, 1065 nt
Filed under: Triticum aestivum (bread wheat)
Lineage: Eukaryota; Viridiplantae; Streptophyta; Magnoliopsida; Poales; Poaceae
Description: partial small subunit ribosomal RNA
Source: RNAcentral
AUGCAUAUUGAAGAGUUAUUAAAGUUAAAAGCUAUAAGAGAAAGCAGAAGCCCUCAUCGAUCUGCUGCUUUUAUAGUUAGAAAUCAUGCUGAAGAAGUUAGAGGUAAAUCUAGAAUGGUAAUUAACUUUAAAAGGCUUAAUGAUAAUACAGUUGACGAUGCAUAUAACAUACCUAAUAAGCAGGAAUGGAUUAACAGAAUACAAGGAAGUAAAUAUUUCUCCAAAUUCGAUUUGAAGGCAGGAUUUUGGCAAGUAAAAAUGGCUGAAGAAUCUAUUCCAUGGACAGCAUUUACUUGUCCACAAGGCCAUUAUGAAUGGCUAGUAAUGCCAUUAGGCCUAAAGAAUGCACCUGCACUAUUUCAAAUAAAGAUGCAAAAUAUAUUUAAUGAGAAUCAAGCAUUUAUAUUAGUAUACGUAGAUGAUUUGUUAGUAUUCUCAAAAUCAUACAAAGAGCAUAUAGCCCAUCUUGAAGUGUUCUUUCGAAAGGUAGAACAAAAUGGGCUCAUACUAUCUAAAAAGAAGAUGGAGAUUUGCAAAGAGAAAAUAAAUUUCCUUGGUCAUGAAAUAGGAGAAGGAAAAAUAUAUCUACAAGAACAUAUUGCAAAGAAAAUAUUAGAGUUUCCUGAUAAUAUGAGUGAUAAAAAGGUUUUACAACAGUUCUUAGGAAUUGUAAACUAUGCGCGAAACUAUAUAGAUAACUUAGCAAAGCUAGCAGGACCUUUAUAUGCUAAAUUAAGAAAAAAUGGUCAAAGAUACUUCAGUUCUGAAGAUAUAAAAUUAGUAAAGGCCAUCAAGGAAAAGGUCAGGAAUUUAAAACCCCUAGAAUUGCCUCUAGAAGACAAUUAUUUUAUAAUUGAGACAGAUGCAUCUAAGGUAGGAUGGGGUGCGAUACUAAAACAAAAGCCCAAUAAAUACUCUCCAAAGGCAGACGAAAAAAUAUGCAGAUAUGCUUCAGGAAGUUACAAAUUAAAGACGGUAAAUAAUAUUGAUAGAGAAAUUCUUGCAGUGGUAAAUGCAAUAAAUGCAUUUAGGUUAUAUCUAGGAUUUAAAGAAUUUACAGUAUGA